GUUUUUUUAUACCACAAAAUAGAAUAUUCUGUAUCUUUCAGGCAGAAACGAUUAAUAGUGAACCUUCCGAAAGACUGUGGCUAAUUUGACUUGCAUGUUGAGCGGCUUCCUGGACAUUUUCCACAGGAGAGUUGGGAUUGAUGAGCUGUCACUGUUAUUCCUGGAGCGGGGCACUGAGGUGCUCUAGCCAGCCACCCCACAAGAUCAUGUACACAUGUCAUAAGAGGUUUCUGACAGGGGGCAGCAGAGACCAUGAAAACAAAGGCUGGCCCUUCAACUGGUAGCUUACAAAAUUUUGGAGCCAGACGUUUUAACAACUUUCAGCAGGAACUAGCCCAUGAUAGUGGACAAACCUCACUGUGGAAUAAAGACUUCAAGAGUGGAGGUGGAAAGAGGGGCUCAAAGUUGAAGGCAGUAAUAUGAGCCAUGAAAGCACUGUGUGAGACACAGUUAGAAAGUGAAAUGCUUUACAGAUGCCACCAAAAAAAAAAAAAAAAAAGAAAAGAAAAAAAGAGGAAAAGGCAGUCUUGAACCAGGGCACACCUCUUCACUUUCCACAUCAACCAGGUAAAAGGAAUCAAAUGCUAAUAAACCACAUGUCCACUAGAAUCCUUCUUGAGUAUUUAUUCACUUGGCACAAGUGACAGUAGUAGACUAUAUGUAACAUAUGUUUUUUAUUCAGAAGAUUUCUGUGCUUCUUCAUCCUAGUUCCGAGCUAAUCAAAGUGGACAUCUGUGUCCUGGAGGUUCUUUCUUCACAAAUCUAGAAUCAGACUCGGAAUUCCAAGCAUCUAGAGGGGCUGGUAUGUGACUAGUUGCUGUCAAAGUCCUGGGACUUGAACUUGGCGACCUAGUCAAAGCAGAUGAAAGUUCAUUUCUGAGUUUGUCCAUCCCUUUACACCAGGUACUCACCCCCUCCCUAUUCAAAUUCUCCCUAUAGUUAGCUAUCUUUCUCAAAAGACACUUAAAAAAAUUAAACCAAAACAAAUCUAAGAGAAACCUGAAAGAUCAGGAUAGAUGCUCCUUGAUGAUAUCCUGAAGGGAUUUAUAGUAUCAUCGAUAUUUCCCAAUUAUUACUGAACUUGGACUGGUAUACUUUGUUCAUUUUAGAUUACAUCAUAAUAAUGGGCAUUUUAUUUCCCUAGAAUAUUGGUGACUUAAAGUGUCUCAGUUAAAAAUUCAUUUGCCCACAAGUAACAGAAAACCCAGUUUACAGAGACUUAAACACAUGAGUUUCAAUUUCUUUUCUUUUUUUUUUUUUUUUGGCUGUGUGGUUUGCAGGAUGUUCUCCAUGACCAGAGAUUGAACCUGGACCACAGCAGUGAAAGCCCGGAAUCCUAACCACUAGGCCACCAGGGAACUCCGAGUUUCAAUUUCUUACUCAACAGGAAGUCUGGAAGGUAAAUCAAGCCAUAGGAGUGAAUGAGACUGUGGAAUGACUGAGAAGUGAGAAGGCCAAAAAGGGGAGCCUGGGGAGCCCCCUGGUUUCCUUUUAUAUACAGAUAAUCAUCUCCUGCAUACUGACCAUCUGCUGUCAAAGCAAAAUUCCAGUGGACCUAGCUUUAAAUCUUCCUACCAAGGGAUGCACCUCUGUUGUUGUAGCAGACAGGAUCUAGUCGGGAAAACAAACCACAGAAAUAAUUUAAUAUGGAGCAUUGCUGAAACAGGUGUUGGAGGACUGAAAAAGCAAAGAGGGAAGCAGCGGCGUCAGUUGGGCUGGGGAACAAAGGGAAAAGUUUAGUUACCAGAACUAAAAGUGUGCAAGACUCACACCUUCAUUCCUGAAGGGUGUGAAUCUACUUUUAAACUCUUUUAAAAAAAAUUAUAGUAGCUUUCCAUUAACUUUUACCAUAGGACACGGAAGUGCUAAGAGGUAUCACAGAAAAUCAAGAAUGCACCCUUUUUUUUUUUUGCGGUAUGCCGGCCUCUCACU
Molecule: long non-coding RNA, 1932 nt
Organism: Aethalodelphis obliquidens (Pacific white-sided dolphin)
Lineage: Eukaryota; Metazoa; Chordata; Mammalia; Artiodactyla; Delphinidae
Exons: 5
Source: RefSeq, a predicted model, not a curated record